CGGACGGGGGAGUAAUGUCUGGGAAACUGCCCGAUGGAGGGGGGUAACUACUGGAAACGGUAGCUAAUACCGCAUAACGUCGCAAGACCAAGAGGGGACCUUCGGGCCUCUUGCCAUCGGAUGUGCCCAGAUGGGAUUAGCUAGUAGGUGGGGUAACGGCUCACCUAGGCGACGAUCCCUAGCUGGUCUGAGAGGAUGACCAGCCACACUGGAACUGAGACACGGUCCAG
Molecule: ribosomal RNA, 230 nt
Filed under: uncultured bacterium
Lineage: Bacteria
Description: partial 16S ribosomal RNA
Rfam family: Bacterial small subunit ribosomal RNA
Source: RNAcentral